Molecule: long non-coding RNA, 700 nt
Organism: Nematostella vectensis (starlet sea anemone)
Lineage: Eukaryota; Metazoa; Cnidaria; Anthozoa; Actiniaria; Edwardsiidae
Exons: 2
Source: RefSeq, a predicted model, not a curated record
AAGCGCGCUUCAUGAAGUCGCUGACUUCAUAACAGUGAUCAUUGUUUUGACAAGUUUUGUUAAGAUAUAUUGAUUAAUGGUUGAUAGAUAUUGAUUGACUUAAUCAUUUAGCACAUGAGAACAACAAAGAUACUGCAUGAACACGAGAGCAAACCGGAGCAAACAGAUAAAACAAGUAAAAGGCUAACCUGGAAAUACUAAAGAGCUAUACCGGCUACAUAAAUCGAAUAACAUCAAAACCUCAUCAAACUAUAUGAUUCGUGGCCGAGUAUUUCUUCUAUGGAUCUAAGAGGAACAACCUUUACGAUUUACGAACACGCCCCUUACAGACAAGUUGUCUACUGAUUUUCUGUUGAGUGAAAUCCGUUUUGGCUUGGAAUCCUAGCGGAAAUAUGUUGACUUGCACUAUUGAAAGGAUGUAGCAAAAGCUCGUUCGCUAAGUUUAUGACUUAUGUUAUUAUAUUAUGUUAUUAUGGCAGAUAAGUGUGGAAAUCAAAGCAGAAUUAAGACUUUCAUGUAUGAUUUCUGCUCUUAUCAAAUGUCUUAAGAAUUGGUAUAGUGGUUCGGCAAUUUGUCUCACUUUAACAGUCAUCCAAAAUUCGCUCAUGGCUGGUGAACCUCUUUAACUGUAUUCAAGAAAAGCCGGACCACACAAGAAAACCGAGGAGCUUGUAUUUAAUUAAAAAUAUCCGUGUUAUUU